ACAAGCGGUGGAUGAUGUGGUUUANUUCGACGCAACGCGAAAAACCUUACCUACCCUUGACAUGCUUGGAAUCCUGCAGAGAUGUGGGAGUGCUCGAAAGAGAACCAAGACACAGGUGCUGCAUGGCCGUCGUCAGCUCGUGUCGUGAGAUGUUGGGUUAAGUCCCGCAACGAGCGCAACCCUUGUCAUUAGUUGCUACGAAAGGGCACUCUAAUGAGACUGCCGGUGACAAACCGGAGGAAGGUGGGGAUGACGUCAGGUCAUCAUGGCCCUUAUGGGUAGGGCUACACACGUCAUACAAUGGCCGGUACAGAGGGCUGCCAACCCGCGAGGGGGAGCUAAUCCCAGAAAACCGGUCGUAGUCCGGAUCGCAGUCUGCAACUCGACUGCGUGAAGUCGGAAUCGCUAGUAAUCGCGGAUCAGCUUGCCGCGGUGAAUACGUUCCCGGGUCUUGUACACACCGCCCGUCACACCAUGGGAGCGGGUUCUGCCAGAAGUAGUUAGCCUAACCGCAAGGAGGGCGAUUACCACGGCAGGGUUCGUGACUGGGGUGAAGUCGUAACAAGGUAGCCGUAUCGGAAGGUGCGGCUGGAUCACCUCCUU
Molecule: ribosomal RNA, 603 nt
Filed under: uncultured Leptothrix sp.
Lineage: Bacteria; Pseudomonadati; Pseudomonadota; Betaproteobacteria; Burkholderiales; Sphaerotilaceae
Description: bacterial SSU rRNA
Rfam family: Bacterial small subunit ribosomal RNA
Source: RNAcentral